This 279-nucleotide ribosomal RNA is filed under the name uncultured bacterium. Its description in RNAcentral is "partial 16S ribosomal RNA". It matches the Rfam family "Bacterial small subunit ribosomal RNA", at positions 506 to 784 of the family's 1533-position model. The record is from RNAcentral.
UGCCAGCCGCCGCGGUAAUACGGAGGGUCCGAGCGUUAAUCGGAAUUACUGGGCGUAAAGCGCGCGUAGGCGGCUUGGUCAGUCGAAUGUGAAAGCCCCGGGCUCAACCCUGGAACUGCCUUUGAUACUGCUAGUCUUGAGUUCGAGAGAGGUAAGUGGAAUUCCGAGUGUAGAGGUGAAAUUCGUAGAUAUUCGGAGGAACACCAGUGGCGAAGGCGACUUACUGGCUCGAUACUGACGCUGAGACGCGAAAGCGUGGGGAGCAAACAGGAUUAGAUA